AUCUGGCCGGGUUGCUGCCUCCCGAGCUUGCUGGAAGUCUGUCUCCUCCCCGGCGCUGGGGCCGCGGCUCAGCCUGCGGGAUUAGCCAGGCCUCUAGCAGCAACACCAGAAGGUUCCCUCUGCCCUCGUUUGUUUUGAAAUCACUGAAGAGGACAGUUAUGUAAGAAGGCAGAUCCUAGAAGUUCAGGACAGCACGGAAACUUCCUUGUGUAUUUGACUGAAUGGUUUUGGUCUUCAGUACACGGCAGGGAUUCUAAACUGCAAGCCAGCUGCCCUGAACUCGCAUCACCAGAUGAUCGUAUGGUUGAAAUACUGCCAGAGCAUGAACAAAAACUAGCAAAAAUGUGAGUUUCUCUGUACAUUUUCUGGAUGGAUUGAAGAUGAAAAGCAUUGCCCCCACAGAUCCUUCUGGUAA
Long non-coding RNA from Zalophus californianus (California sea lion), 415 nucleotides. RefSeq lists it as uncharacterized. The record is from RefSeq and is a predicted model, not a curated record. NCBI's taxonomy places the organism in Eukaryota, Metazoa, Chordata, Mammalia, Carnivora, Otariidae. The transcript has 3 exons.